Molecule: non-coding RNA, 1521 nt
Organism: Danio rerio (zebrafish)
Lineage: Eukaryota; Metazoa; Chordata; Actinopteri; Cypriniformes; Danionidae
Source: RefSeq, a predicted model, not a curated record
ACUCGCUAGUCUUACAAAUGACCCCUGUAGCUGUGCUUCUGACAUACUGCUGCGUUUGCUGGUGUUGACACAGCUCCGUAUGCUCCGGCAGGAUGAUGAAGCUGUCCGGUGGAUUGGAGAUCUGCUAAUCCGCUGCUGAAUUAGCUCAGGAGGAUGUCUCAAGGCUCUGGCGAUGUGGUGCCACUUAUGUAGGAUUGAUGGCAAAAGAUCCCUGUGCAUCAUCGUUUGGGAGCGAUCUAAAAUGUCAAAGGUGUCCUUUUGAUGUCGGGUAUGGGCCUCAUGCAAGGCAGCACCUGUGUGGGACGCCGUAUGCAUUUGUGUGUGUGUGUGUGUGUGUGUGUGUGUGUGUGUGUGUGUGUGUGUCAUAUUCACAUUCAAACUGUCAGGCUGUUCCUUUGGGAGCAAGGGAUACUGAGGAGAGACGAAUGUAAACUGAGGUUGUGCUCUCACAUGCUUCCUCUCUCUCUCUCUUUGUCUCAUUUAUUAAGUGGAGUGAUUGUAAUGGUUUGAGUAUUGAAUGUUUGCAAUGUUGAUCUCUUUGAUCCUGAUACGGUACAAUCUGGCUUACACUGAAGCCCAUCCCACUGUGUGCUGCAAUGCCUGUUUUACUAUCCGUCCAACCAUCACUGUCCUCUCCGCUAUAGAUGAAUGAAUGGAUGCUUGUUUAUGUGAACCUGUGUUUGUGGGCUGAAUGUGUGUGUUUCAGCAGCUGUAACGUGUGUUGCAGAUUCGAAUCUGAACUCAUAUUCACUCCAUCUGCUGGUCAAUUAGAUGAACACACAGAAAAUGCUUGAGCCUUUUCAGACUUUUUGAACAAAGCUAGCUUGUUUGUAUAAAGCUCUAGUACAAACAAGCAAAAUGCAAAUUUUAAAUACAAAAUAAAACACAGAAAUACAAAUGAGCUUUUAAUCAUACCAUUGGUUUUACUUUCUUAGAAGCCAGUCCAACAAACAAGUGGAAAAAUACCUGAAGGAAUUGUAUUAAUGUACUUAAUGAAAACAACCAAGCCGCAAAAAACAAAACAAAAAACACAUUACUAAUUCUCUUGCUCUUCGUUGUGUUAUAUAUCAGUGUGUUUUAUAUUCCUCCACAAGUACACAGUGUCUGGAGAGUUCUCUUAUGAAAACCGAGUGUGCUUUGUGUAUGUGUGUUGGAGGAAUACGAAGAAGAGAGCAGAGUUUUUCAAUGUGUUCUUAAGCGUUCUUGCAUUCUCAAACAACAUCAUCAUAAACUUCCAAAGUUUAAGAAGAACGUUUAAGAAAAAGGCUGCAUUUGUUCCUGAUAUUGCUAAUGCAUCAGAUGCAGACUUUAGAACAGCAGUCGCUCGAAAUCUCAGAAGUCAUUGCAGCUCAAUAAAGGAAUAGGGAAGUGCAGCAUCUUAUAUUCACUAUUAUUUACUGUUUAGAGAUAUUUCCCUAUAUGAAACAGUGAAAUUAAAAUUGGUUUUAUUUGUAUUGGCCAAAGUAUCUUUGUAAGAGUUUUGUACGUUACAUACAGUAUUUAUUAAAAAGGGGAAAAACA